GCCAGUGUGGUAUAGUGGCUUGAGUGUUGGACUAUGACUGCAACUCUGGAGAUGAGGGUUCAAAUCCCCACUCAGUCA
Molecule: non-coding RNA, 78 nt
Organism: Phrynosoma platyrhinos (Desert horned lizard)
Lineage: Eukaryota; Metazoa; Chordata; Lepidosauria; Squamata; Phrynosomatidae
Source: the annotation of a GenBank genome assembly